Molecule: transfer RNA, 85 nt
Filed under: Devosia enhydra
Lineage: Bacteria; Pseudomonadati; Pseudomonadota; Alphaproteobacteria; Hyphomicrobiales; Devosiaceae
Also listed under: 5 other names
Description: tRNA_Leu_TAG
Rfam family: tRNA
About the family: Transfer RNA (tRNA) molecules are approximately 80 nucleotides in length. Their secondary structure includes four short double-helical elements and three loops (D, anti-codon, and T loops).
Source: RNAcentral
GCGGGUGUGGCGGAACUGGUAGACGCACUGGAUUUAGGUUCCAGCGCCGCAAGGCGUGGAGGUUCAAGUCCUCUCACCCGCACCA